CUGCUGGCGAGGGGCUCGGGCACGCCCUGAGAGGAGAAUUUCCUCUAAGAGUCGACACCCCCCUCACCCCCCACCACACACGCACACGCUCCUCUGGGCGCAACCCGCCUCCUCAGCCGCCCAGGCACCCUUCUUAUUCACCCACAUCUCUCCCUGUCCCCACCCCCACGCGGAAGGGACGACGACGGGGCUGGAGGCAUCCCUCUCUCGCCCACUGCCUUCCCCCCUUCCAGUUCGCGAGAGACAGAACCGUGUAGUUUUUUCCUUUUUCUUCCUGGUCUGAACAAAGACCUGGUUGGAAACGAAAGCCUGAAACCAUAGAUCAGAGUCCUAGCUGUCCCUUGCAGCUCACAGGCUGGAACUCUCUGCUCUCCUGGGAGCCAGGAUCUCAUGGAGCAGACCUGGAACCACUUGCGUCCCGGCAGGGGGCCUGGGCGCUAAAAGCUGGGGACAGGGACACCUAAGCAAUGCUCAAAGAACUCACGUUUUGUGAACCUGGCCAAAGCCUUCUUUAGGUCUCAGCACAGCCUUCCCCCGCACCCCCUCCUUGUUGGGAUUCCAAGGAUUGGAUUGGACAGAUUGGGGCAGAAAUAUGAAAGUCAGGCAUGGCUAGGUUUUCCAAAGGUGGGAAACCUCAGGGUCUGGAUUGAGUUGCUGUGGCAGAGAGAACACAGGGCCUCACUCUCCCACACGCCCAGUUCCCACAGGGUGGAGUGGAACAGGACCAGUGCUCAACCUUGGCACCAGGCUGUACCUGCCCAGGAUGAACCCUCUGUGCUUUCCCAGCUGCCCUCCACACCUGGAAACUGUCCCCUCUAUUCCCGCAGGAGUACAUCCUCUCACCUGAUGCCCAACAGGGCUCUGGUGUCCAGUCACACACCUUGCUUUUGCACCUGCUGUUCCCUCUGCCUGGAAGGCCCUUCCCUGCAUCAUCUCCCUGAAGAAGUUGCCAACUCCUUCUCUAGAGGCAGUCUCACAGCCCAAAUCAUCAGUCUAGAACUGGUUCUCAAAGUGUGGUCUUUGGACCAGUAGUAUCAGCAUCAUCUGCCUGGAAAUUUGUUAGAAAUGCCAAGUCUCAGGCCCUCCCCUGGACCUACUGAAUCAGAAAUGUUGGAGGUGAGGCCCAGAAAUCCGUUCUAACCAGCCACCCAGGUGAGUCGGAUGUACAUUCAAGUUGAAAACCACCAACCUGAAACACCCACGGUGAAUGUGCCCAUGAGUGGCCCGCACAGUAGAGAUACUGAUGGGUUCCCAUGGGAACAGAGCAUUUAGAAAGAUGUCAGAAGAAUGAUAGCCUUUGUGCAGCAAGGCCUUUGACAUCCCCUCGACCAGGCCACGAGCGCUGGGAGGAGACCUCUCACCAGCCCCCGGUGCGGAUGCCCAGGCCCCACUGCCUGACGGCCCACCCUCCUACGGAGCUGUCAGCACAUUUGGCUCUGUCUCCACAUAAAUUCAUGGGCCAGCUGUCUCUUUUAAUCUGGUUGCAAGAUGAAACCAUUAAUAGAUGUCAGACACAUUGGCAAUGAUCUCUUCAUUAAUAAUUUCCUCCUUUCUGAGGAAAAAAAAUUAGUAACAAGCAACCAUCAAUAAUUCAAAAAUACGAGUUAACCUUUCUAUUAGCAGAGUGGCUUUGCACACACCGCGGACUCUUUCAGAGCCAGUAGUUCUGACUCGAAUCGUGUUUUAUGGCACAAAUAUUAACAUGCAUUAAUGCUCUCCGUCAAGAUGCGCAAAUGUAAAUAACCCAAAUGCAACUUAGAAACCAUAAGUAGUUUUCGAGUGUAACCUCGUGAUCCUACCAUUUUGUUCUGUGAAAACAUGCAUUGUCCAAUAAUAUUGCUGUGUCCAAAAGCAGUACUUCACAAAGAAAUCGUUUGCACUGUGAGGCCCUUGUGGUUAGAAAGAUUUCCCUUGCACUGAACCAACACUGCCAGUCUGCACCUUCCUCCCCUCGGAGUUGGCUCCUCUCUCUGGGAACACACGGAAAGAUCCUGGACACGCUUGCAGGUGACUCAGUUGGAUGUUGGUGUGCUCUAGGUAAGCAUUCUUGAUUCCUUACACUCUUCUUCAUCUCCUCCUCCUCCUCCUCCUCCUCCUCCUCCUCCUCCCCCUCCUCCUCUUCCUCCUCCUCCUCCUUUGAUUUCUAGUCCCCCACCAUCUGGUUCCUCUUCUCGGACAUACUCUAUUUUGGUAACACCCCUCUUUUGGGCGAGGCCUUGCACCUGCCCAUAUUCCCCAUGCCUCCAUUCACCAGUCAGGUGACCACAAACUAGUCACUCUCUCUCUCCAGUUGUGUUUCCCCAUCUGUGAAAUUGGGGUGAUUAUUCCCACCUCACUGAGCUGAGUGAGAAUUAUGUGAGCUAAUGGAUAUGAAAGCAUCUAGAACAGGACCUGGCCCACUCAAGAGAUCAUUUCUUUUCCUUUCUUUCCUACCUCCAAGUCUUAGGUUAACAUACCACCCCAGCCUUGAUUCCAGGCCAACUAUUAUAGACACCUGGUCGGCAACACAGCACGGACAGCCAGCUGCUUCAUCCUUGGGCCAAAACACCAGCACAUGGUCCAGACUAUUGGCAAGUAGACGUCAGUGCUUGAGCUGCCCUGGAUUUAACAAGUAACAUGGACCUCCCACCAUAAAGACCCUUGACAGUAACAGAACUCUGCCCACUACAGCCCAGCCUUUGGAUGCUGCACCAAUCAGACACAGAUUGCCAAGAGGGCCUUGGGAAAGAGAUUCCCACAAGGCAGCCAGGCAUGGGUUUCUGCUGCAGUGGUCUUCAACCCUUCUCCAUGUUAGAAUCACCUGGGGCCCCACCCUCAGCCAUUGAGUUAUUUGAGUAGGAGCCAGGCAACAGUAGUUUUUAAAGCUCCCCAGUAUUUCCACUAAAAACCACUGCAAGGACUCCUCACUUGGAGUCUCCCCAGCCCUGGAUGGGCUAUGAAUCAUCUCAGAAAUUCAAAGGGGGUGGACUUGGAGUGGGGUCUACACAGAGCUCUACCUCCUCAUAUUCUCAUACACCCUUAUAAAGAUGCCCCACCCCCUUGCCCAUCUCAGGGAAUCCCUGCAUGGAAGGAGAGGUGAUCCUGGAUGAGUGAUAGACAGUACAUUUCUCAGCAUGGGUCCCCGGGACACAUCCACUCCAGAGCCACUCAGGGUAGGUGUGCAUUCAUUUUACAUGGAACUGAAUCAGGAUCCUUACAGACUGAGGCUAGGGGUUUGAUUUUUCUUUUUUUUUUUUUUAACUUUCACACCAGAGGAUUCUCAGGCACAUUAAGUUUGUGAAUGGUUAAUGCCGUGUUAGGACAAGGAAGUUGAAAACCUGCAGAUACAACCUUGAGCCUACUGAGGCCAGGUCUGCAUCUUGCCCAUUUUUGUGUUUCUGACAGCUAUAAGGGUUUAGAGGAUGAAUACUGAGACUGGAGCGUGUACACACAUUGUAUUUUAGGCACGACUCUUUCUUACAAAUGACAUGUCUAGCUCAAAGCAACUUACGUGAAAAGAGGAAUCCAGUGGCUUAUUUAGCUGAGCGAUUCAUAAGCACCUUCAGGCAAAGCUGCAUCCAGGUAUUCAGUUGUCUCUCUCUCUCUCUCUCUCUCUCUCUCUCUCUCUCUCUCUCUCUCCCUCUCCAUCUCUCAGUGGUGCUUCUCUCAGUGGGUAGUCAGGGAAAAUUGGGCAGUGACCACUCCAUAUAUGGGUCUCAUGGCUUAGAGCCUUCAGUAGCAUCCCUGCCAAACUCUAGUGAAGAUACUUUGGCUGAUGUAGGUCACAUCCAUUUCCUGAAACAAUCGAUUUGGUCAGGAAAGUGGCAGAGAGGACAAUACUAUAAUUGGCCAGCCUCAGUCAUUUGUCCACCCCUCCAUAUAGGGGGUGGUCACCAUAAUUGACAGUCCCAUAAAGACCAAAUGGAGUGGGGAAGGAGUGUUUUCUCUAAAGGAUCUUGGGCAGUCAGGUAACCUGUAUCCACCUCACUUAUAAAUCACAAUGCUCAUAAACCUGUUUAGUAAGUGAUCUGCUGACCUAACUCCUCACCCAGGGUCUGCUCUCUGCUUAACCUGCUCUGCAUUCUGACACUCCAUUCAGUCCUUCGUUACCCACAGAGACCCUAUGAUUUUUAUACUUCCUACCCUUUUAUACUACCUACCCUUCCAACGUACCAAGGCAUAAGUGUUAUCCUCAAAAUAUUUUCAAGCAGCCAGCUCCUCUAUAGCCAAUCCAACGGAAUAAAUAGUUCUUUCAGCUUCAGAAAAUGGCGACUGUUGAAGAAAUAUUUUAGUCCACAACACAGAAAGAGAUUUCACCCGAAAUGAUAGCCACAAACUUUAGCCCCCAGAAUCUCCUUCACCACUCCCGGAACCGAGCUGGAUAACAGCAGAAGACUCCAAGCACACUGAGAUCCUUCAUUGGCGUGACAGGCCAGACUGCACACGUUUAUUCAAGCCAUUCUCACGUCAAAUAAAACGUUGAUAAAUCAUUAUUUCUACAAGCUAAAAAAAUGCUAAUAACUCAAGGCAGAAUGAGAUUGAGUUUGUUGAAAUGAAUGUGAAGAAUGGAUGGGGACAAUCUUGGAAUGUAAAACCAUAGAAAAUACCACCUGGGAACACAGAGAUCAUUUGUCUUAUCUGGAAGCCUGUCUCCAGGGUGGCAAAUGUAGGGAUUGGUUUGAGGACAGAGUAUGCCCUGUGCUCUGGGAGGGGGCUGAAGGGCAGGGAGGCAGAGGUGCUCCUUCACCCAAAACUACCAUUCAUCUCUGUCUGCCACAGCAGCUUAAAGAUUGAUAAUCUUGGGGAUUUUCCACUUUGGUUUUUCUUCUGCCUUUCCGAAAUGUUUGAACUUGCACUGACCUUGAGCCAGGCCCGCAGCUAAAAGCCCGGCAUGCACCAUCCACCCCACAGUUCUCAUUAUUCCCAAUGUACAGGUGAGGAAACUGAGGUAUGAGGAGGUUUGGUGCUUCAGGAUGGAUGCUGGUUUUAGGUUUGACUUUCCUCUCUACCUGUCCUAGAUGUUUUAAAAUCACUGUAAUUGUGUCUCCCCACCGUGGAUCAAGAAUGCUAGUCCAACCGUCUCUAAACCCUUGUCAUUUUAUAGACAUCUCAGUAGAGCUUUGCUAGUAAACAAACAAACAAACAAACAAAUACAUUCCGCUUACCCAGAAGCCAGAUCCCCUGCAAUAACUUCCCAGCUAGGUUCUCCCCGGAGCAGAAGAAUGUGCCAUUAUAGUCUGGGUUGAUUUUGGGUUUUUUGAAGGCUUUGUUUUUUCAAUUUUUCAGGCCUUACCUACCCUAGGAGGAACCAACGUAUGAUAACAGAGACAAUGUAACCUGAAAAAGUCCCCAGAUUAACAAAGGAAGAUACUCCCCAGUACUCAGUUGGGGUCAGAGCCUCUGCUUUGAGGGACUGGACCUCUGUCUAAUUCUUGUUUCCUGCAAGAAGAAUAUUAAGGGCCCAUGGAUGUUUUAAGACACAAAUGUAUGGAAUUUUCUCAGGUUUCUCUCUCAGAUAGGAUUCAAAAAAAAAAAAUCAGGAAUUGACAAAUGUUAAAUACUUCCUUACUGCUGGUAAUGCUUGCCCCACUCCUUCCCCUUUUUCUUCUCCUGAAACUCCUCUAACAUGAAUUUAUUUUCUAUUUGAAAGCCAAUCUCACUGGUUAUUAGAUAUUCUCCCUGCUGUCACCAUCAGUAAAUUAUUAAACAGCUGACCAAGCUUUGUUUUAAAAUGA
Molecule: long non-coding RNA, 5714 nt
Organism: Felis catus (domestic cat)
Lineage: Eukaryota; Metazoa; Chordata; Mammalia; Carnivora; Felidae
Exons: 3
Source: RefSeq, a predicted model, not a curated record